This 67-nucleotide transfer RNA is filed under the name Phlugiolopsis punctata. RNAcentral's name for it is "tRNA-Glu". The record is from RNAcentral. Lineage: Eukaryota; Metazoa; Arthropoda; Insecta; Orthoptera; Tettigoniidae.
AUUUAUAUAGUUUAAAAAAAACAAUACAUUUUCAUUGUAUAAAUAAUAUACUAUUUAUUUAUAAAUA